Molecule: ribosomal RNA, 253 nt
Filed under: uncultured bacterium
Lineage: Bacteria
Description: partial 16S ribosomal RNA
Rfam family: Bacterial small subunit ribosomal RNA
Source: RNAcentral
UACGUAGGGUGCAAGCGUUAAUCGGGAUUACUGGGCGUAAAGCGUGCGCAGGCGGUUUUGUAAGACUGUCGUGAAAUCCCCGGGCUCAACCUGGGAAUGGCGAUGGUGACUGCAAGGCUAGAGUUUGGCAGAGGGGGGUAGAAUUCCACGUGUAGCAGUGAAAUGCGUAGAUAUGUGGAGGAACACCGAUGGCGAAGGCAGCCCCCUGGGUCAAAACUGACGCUCAUGCACGAAAGCGUGGGGAGCAAACAGG